CUCGAUUGUCGAUCAAUACGAACGCUUGCAAAACGGAUGGCACAAUGGUGGUGAAUUAAAUUAUUAAGAUCUCGGCGAUAUGCGAUGUUAGUCGGUGGCUAUUCCAGUGUGGAAAAUUCAGGAAAGCUUGGUGGUUUCUAUUCGUGACUCGGCGUUAGUCUUCGAAGGAUUUACCAAAGAAAUGCAGCAUAACGCCGACUGUAUCAGAAUAUCUGAUGAUCCCUUAUGGGGUUUGCCAUGCACCUCCAAGCGAAUUGAGAAGGUACCACAGGGGCGCAGACCGACGAAAUGGAGCCAUUCAAUGCGAGUGGUGAACGUUAGUGAAGGAAACCUCCAAAAUAUGGGCUACAGGAAUCUAGAACAUUGGUUAGAGGAGGACAACAAUGUCUACGUUGGACGCACCCUUAGCAAGUAUGCUCCAAAUUACACGGCCAAACCUGGGAGUGACCCGGACAAGUGGGGCAACCCGUAUAGUCUGAAUGAAUACUCCAGGGAAGAGUGUUGUCGGAAAUAUGAGGCGCACGCCCGUGAGAAUCUUUUGGGACAGUUACAUGAGCUGACGGGUAAAGUGUUGGGAUGUUGGUGUCAUCCACUGCAAUGCCACGGGGAUGUGUUGAUGAAGUUACACAAGGAAUACAUCGGGAACUCUUGAAAUAAGCCAUGUCACAAUCUAGGCAGAUUGUGCAGCGAAAUAACUAACAAUGCAUUUUAGCUCAUCCAUUUACUAGAUGGGGAUGGGAAUGGAGAUGGACUGCAUAUCGGUUGCUGCUCCUGGAUGGACAAGACAUCAUGAACACAUGGAUUGAGAAUAGUCUCCUUUGACAUCAUCCUGGCACCAGUUGUUUUUUAAUAUACCUUCGCUUCUCGAUAUAUGACGUAGGAGUAAAAAGGCCCGAUCACAGGAUGCUUCCACAUGGACGGUCUGACCCUUCAUCCAACGCGACUGCUUGGCUGCGAUGCGUCAGACUUCCUUUUCAUCACGUUGUAGCCAUAUCUCGUACGAUCCAUCAAAAGGAGGGUUGGUAGUCCAAUCUUGCAGAAUGCAGCUGUAUUAUUCUGCUGCAUGUACAACUAGGAGAUCUGUAUGGUUUCUCCCAAAGUGGAGACACUCCAGUUCGUAUGUAUUUGUCACCGACACGUGUCACAACCUGUCCCUGCAUCUUAGAUUGUAAUCGAAAAUGCCAUUUUCAACUUGAGACAACUGGUAUGAGCAGAGACAUAUUAUUUUACAUAUGGUUUCCACAUGUGUCACAACCGAUCACUGUCUCCGUGAUUGUGAGAGAACUGUUAUGAUUUCUUCAAAGGCAGAGAUGGUCCAUUUUACUUAUCAUAUUCACACGCGUCACAACCUGUCGCUGUCUCCAAGACAAUAUUCGAAAGUGCCAUUUUCAAACAUGAGAGACAAUUGUACAUAGUCCCUGGAGUGUGUCUCUCAUAUUAAAUCUUCUGCCCCAGCAAGCGAGGGGACGGAAGACAUACCUGUUGUGUGCUUAUGCAAGAGAUAGUGCCUGAGCACACUCCCCUAGUCUAGUGAGGUUAUUUUAUUCAUACAUGUAACUUUGAAAACCCAAGAGACAAAUAACAUUAUUCAUUAUAUACAGAAAA
This is a long non-coding RNA of Lineus longissimus, 1605 nucleotides long. RefSeq lists it as uncharacterized. The record is from RefSeq and is a predicted model, not a curated record. NCBI's taxonomy places the organism in Eukaryota, Metazoa, Nemertea, Pilidiophora, Heteronemertea, Lineidae. The transcript is spliced from 3 exons.